CGCAUCUGUGCAUGCAGCAUAUCAAUAAGCGGAGGAAAAGAAACUAACAAGGAUUCCCCCUAGUGACGGCGAGUGAAGCGGGGAAGAGCUCAAAUUUGAAAUCUUAAAGGGUUUCCCUUUACGAAUUGUAGUUUAAAGAAGUGUUUUCUGUUGAGGUUUUGGUAAAAGUUCUUUGGAAUAGGACAUCAUAGAGGGUGAGAAUCCCGUAUUUGACCUUUACUUUCAACUUUGUGAUACACUUUCAAAGAGUCGGAUUGUUUGGGAAUGCAGUCCAAAAUGGGUGGUAAAUUUCAUCUAAAGCUAAAUAUUGGCGAGAGACCGAUAGCGAACAAGUACCGUGAGGGAAAGAUGAAAAGAACUUUGAAAAGAGAGUUAAACAGUACGUGAAAUUGUCAAAAGGGAAGCGUUUGACACCAGCUGUUGUUUUUCUGAAAAUCAAUUAAAGAACUGUUUAUGCUAAGCUGUUUAGACUUUAUCAGCUAACUGUUUAGUUUUGAGCUUUUCUUUAAUGCACUUUUCAGUUAACAAGUCAACAUCAAUUUCUUUUGCUGUAAAAAAGCUUGAGGAAGGUGGCUUGAGAUUCGUCUUAAGUGUUUAUAGCCUCUUGCCUAUGCAGUCGGAGAGAUUGAGGUCUGCAGCGUAGAUCCUUCGGGGCUAAAUGCAUUUGUGCUAAGUUAUAGCAUUUUAUAGACAACUUGUUGACUAUGAUUUGUCUUGUAGCUUACUCGCUUAUGUUAUUUUACCUACGCUUAGGAUGUUGAGUCAUCACACAUCUCU
RNAcentral lists this ribosomal RNA (777 nucleotides) under uncultured Neocallimastigales. RNAcentral's name for it is "partial large subunit ribosomal RNA". It matches the Rfam family "Eukaryotic large subunit ribosomal RNA", at positions 26 to 614 of the family's 3401-position model. The record is from RNAcentral. Lineage: Eukaryota; Fungi; Neocallimastigomycota; Neocallimastigomycetes; Neocallimastigales.